This 102-nucleotide Y RNA is filed under the name Microcebus murinus (gray mouse lemur). RNAcentral's name for it is "Y RNA (ENSMICG00000042108.1)". It matches the Rfam family "Y RNA". From Rfam's summary of the family: Y RNAs are components of the Ro ribonucleoprotein particle (Ro RNP), in association with Ro60 and La proteins. The Y RNAs and Ro60 and La proteins are well conserved, but the function of the Ro RNP is not known. The record is from Rfam by way of RNAcentral. Lineage: Eukaryota; Metazoa; Chordata; Mammalia; Primates; Cheirogaleidae.
GGUUGGUCCGAGUGCAGUGGUGUUUACAACUAAUUGAUCACAACUAGUUACAGAUUCCUUUGUUCCUUCUUCACUCCCACUGCUCCACUUGACCAGACUUUA